GGAAAAUAUUAAACUUGGAAAAUAAAUGAAGGCUCACUUACGUUCAGUCCUACAGCUAGCUGCCCUGCCACAAAUAAUGGAAGGAUCAUCGGUUGUCAGCAGGAUUGAUCGUAAAUCUUCCAUAAAAACUAAGCCCAGAACGCUCAGUAUUCAUCAGAUUCGAUACGCCAGAGGAAGCCGUGAAAACGAGAAGCAUGGGGGAAGCCAAGAAUGUGUAUACGGAGGAAUUGGCACCAGUGGAAAGUGGAAGAGAGAAUGAAGGAGACGAGAAAAGAGGCUGAGUACUGGUAUGAUAAACUCCAAUCUCCAUUGCCAAGAUCAUGAUGCGCAUCCUAUUCUUUGAAACUGAUACUGAUUCUACAUUCUUAUUCAAAUUAAUUACACACUCUACUAUCUAAAAUAUUGUGUAUAUAUGCAUAAAUUUGAAGGGGUCAAGGCUUCACAUGCUGCUGCAAAUAGAUGAUCCCAUUCCUGGCCACCUCUUGAGUAGGUUGUAUCCACAUAUGGAAAACCCUCCAACUUAUUUGACAAAGCAUCGUUGGUGCACACACAACUCCACCAAGUCACCUCAGCCUUGACAACAAUGGAGGAGGACCAUAAGCACACAACAGAGCAUUUAGAUCUUUUGCUCCAUGAAGAGGAGCCAGGUACUUUGCAGCUGAAGCAAGACAGACAAGCUUAGGGAAGCUACAUUGUUCUCCUGGUAUAAAAUAAAACAAGCAAUGACAAAAGAACAUGAGCAUGCAAACCCUAAAGCACAAUUUAAAACAAAGACAAAGGCAAAACAAAAGAGUCCAUUCUUCAUAAGAACAGACCAAGUAGUAAACCAAGACAGCAGUUGAUCCUUCAAGGUGCAAUAAACAGUCAAUUUAAUACGCAUAGAAAAACUAGGUUCAAUAGAAUACAUAAAUCAGCAUACCCAGUGUCUUGUUUAAUGGAACCCAUCAAUGAUAUCUGUUCUGACAAUCAGAGAUUUAUCAAAGUAUAAUAUGAUCCACCUCA
Molecule: long non-coding RNA, 1002 nt
Organism: Mangifera indica (mango)
Lineage: Eukaryota; Viridiplantae; Streptophyta; Magnoliopsida; Sapindales; Anacardiaceae
Exons: 3
Source: RefSeq, a predicted model, not a curated record